GAUGAAGAACGCAGCGAAAUGCGAUAAGUAAUGUGAAUUGCAGAAUUCAGUGAAUCAUCGAAUCUUUGAACGCACCUUGCGCCCUUUGGCUAUUCCGAAGGGCAUGCCUGUUUGAGUAUCAUGAACACCUCAACUCUCAUGGUUUGCCAUGAUGAGCUUGGACUUUGGGGGUCUUGCCGGCCUAUGGGUCGGCUCCUCUCAAAUUAAUCAGCUUGCCAGUGUUUGGUGGCAUCAUAGGUGUGAUAACUAUCUACGCUUGUGGUUUUCCAUCAGGUAACCUUCAGUGAUGGAGGUUCGCUGGGGCUCAUAAAUGUCUCUCCUCAGUGAGGACAGCUUUUUUGAACGUUUGAUCUCAAAUCAGGUAGGACUACCCGCUGAACUUAAGCAUAUCAAUAAGCGGAGGA
Molecule: unclassified non-coding RNA, 404 nt
Filed under: soil metagenome
Description: partial contains 5.8S ribosomal RNA, internal transcribed spacer 2, and large subunit ribosomal RNA
Rfam family: 5.8S ribosomal RNA (bases 1-121)
Source: RNAcentral